This 431-nucleotide ribosomal RNA is filed under the name uncultured bacterium. RNAcentral's name for it is "bacterial SSU rRNA". It matches the Rfam family "Bacterial small subunit ribosomal RNA", at positions 960 to 1391 of the family's 1533-position model. The record is from RNAcentral.
CGCGAAGAACCUUACCUGGUCUUGACAUCCACAGAACUUUCCAGAGAUGGAUUGGUGCCUUCGGGAACUGUGAGACAGGUGCUGCACGGCUGUCGUCAGCUCGUGUUGUGAAAUGUUGGGUUAAGUCCCGUAACGAGCGCAACCCUUAUCCUUUGUUGCCAGCGGUCCGGCCGGGAACUCAAAGGAGACUGCCAGUGAUAAACUGGAGGAAGGUGGGGAUGACGUCAAGUCAUCAUGGCCCUUACGACCAGGGCUACACACGUGCUACAAUGGCGCAUACAAAGAGAAGCGACCUCGCGAGAGCAAGCGGACCUCAUAAAGUGCGUCGUAGUCCGGAUUGGAGUCUGCAACUCGACUCCAUGAAGUCGGAAUCGCUAGUAAUCGUGGAUCAGAAUGCCACGGUGAAUACGUUCCCGGGUCUUGUACACACC